This 820-nucleotide long non-coding RNA is filed under the name Manihot esculenta (cassava). Its description in RNAcentral is "long non-coding RNA (MESC_LNC003533)". Lineage: Eukaryota; Viridiplantae; Streptophyta; Magnoliopsida; Malpighiales; Euphorbiaceae. The record is from RNAcentral.
UUCUUUUAAGGAUAGUUGCUAUUGUAUACCCCAAGGCCAUUAGCCCACCAAGAAGUCGCACACUCACUUCAAAAGAGAUCCUUGGUGAUAUAACAAAAGGAGCAUCUGUUACCCAUUCCUGAAAUUGAGAGUUAUAACUGGUCAUAUCAGAUAAAGAUGUGGAAAUAAGAUUUAAAAAUAAAUAAAUAAAUAAAACAACAAAAAGCCAUUUAAUUGUACUUUGUUAGUAGUGAUAUUAAUAAUAUGCAUACAUGGGACAUUUAAGGUUUCCUUAAACUAUUAUCCUAGCAUAAUUUUAUUCAUGAUCACCAGUCAUAAGUAAUUCAAUGCAGCCAAUAACUUUAACUUGUUACACACACAAAUUUUAAUUUGUUUUCAAUAGACCUAUGCCAAUUUCAUUCAAUAUAAACUCCACAAGGUUUUUUUUUUGGUGGUCAAAUAAGAUUUUUUUAAUACAACUAUACAACUAAAAGUGGGCCACAAGACUUUCUUACUUAGUUGCCAUGUAAAAAAGAACAUGUAAAAAUUUGAUUUUUGUGCUGUUCAGAAACACAUAGAGGCACAUUGUUUCCAACAGGACCUAAUAUGUUUCUUCACACAUAUUUCUAAAAUUUGUCAAAGUACACAAGGUAUUCAAGUCUACCAGAACCAAUAAUUCUCACACCAAGGAAAAUAAAAUGGGCAAACCUCAAACAUAAGAUUAUACUUUCCAUCUUUAUUCCUCAUUCUCAGAUAUGACUGACAAGAUUCAGGAUCUUCACCAGGUGGUAAAAGAAAAAUAUCAUAAGUCUGCUCUGUCAUCUCUGUAUGUUCCUCAGAG